UACGUAGGGUGCAAGCGUUAAUCGGAAUUACUGGGCGUAAAGCGUGCGCAGGCGGUUUUGUAAGUCUGUCGUGAAAUCCCCCGGGCUCAACCUCGAGACGCCGAUGGAAACCGUUUGGCUAGAGUCCGGAAGAGGAGAGUGGAAUUCCCGGUGUAGCGGUGAAAUGCGCAGAUAUCGGGAAGAACACCCGUGGCUAAGGCGGCUCUCUAGUACGGUACUGAUGCUGAGACGCGAAAGCGUGGGGAGCGAACAGG
This 254-nucleotide ribosomal RNA is filed under the name uncultured bacterium. Its description in RNAcentral is "partial 16S ribosomal RNA". It matches the Rfam family "Bacterial small subunit ribosomal RNA", at positions 524 to 776 of the family's 1533-position model. The record is from RNAcentral.